GUGGGGAAUUUUGGACAAUGGGCGCAAGCCUGAUCCAGCAAUGCCGCGUGCAGGAAGAAGGCCUUCGGGUUGUAAACUGCUUUUGUACGGAACGAAAAGGCUCUGGUUAAUACCUGGGGCUCAUGACGGUACCGUAAGAAUAAGCACCGGCUAACUACGUGCCAGCAGCCGCGGUAAUACGUAGGGUGCAAGCGUUCAUCGGAAUUACUGUGCGUAAAUCGUGCGCAGGCGGUUUUGUAAGACAGACGUGAAAGCCCCGGGCUCAACCUGGGAAUGGCGUUUGUGACUGCAAAGCUGGAGUGCGGCAGAGGGGGAUGGAAUUCCGCGUGUAGCAGUGAAAUGCGUAGAUAUGCGGAGGAACACCGAUGGCGAAGGCAAUCCCCUGGGCCUGCACUGACGCUCAUGCACGAAAGCGUGGGGAGCAAACAGGAUUAGAUACCCCGGUAGUCC
Molecule: ribosomal RNA, 450 nt
Filed under: uncultured bacterium
Lineage: Bacteria
Description: partial 16S ribosomal RNA
Rfam family: Bacterial small subunit ribosomal RNA
Source: RNAcentral